AAAGACUUAGUCCUAACCUUACUGUUAAUUCUCGCUAAACAUAUACAUGCAAGUAUCCGCACCCCAGUGUAAAUGCCCUCAAUAUCUUCUUCCCAGACUAAAGGAGCAGGUAUCAGGCACACCCAUGUCGUAGCCCAAGACGCCUUGCUUUAGCCACUCCCCCACGGGUAUUCAGCAGUAAUUAAUAUUAAGCAAUAAGUGUAAACUUGACUUAGUUAUAGCGACACCUCAGGGUCGGUAAAUCUUGUGCCAGCCACCGCGGUCACACAAGAGACCCAAACUAACAGCACCCGGCGUAAAGUGUGGUAACAUGCUAUCCAACCAACUAAGACCAACAUACAACUAAGCUGUCAUAAGCCUAAGAUGUACCUAAAACCCUCAUAAAAAUGAUCUUAGCAUCCACGAUAAAUUUAAACCCACGAAAGCUAAGGCACAAACUGGGAUUAGAUACCCCACUAUGCUUAGCCCUAAAUCCCGAUACUUCACAUACACAAGUAUCCGCCCGAGAACUACGAGCACAAACGCUUAAAACUCUAAGGACUUGGCGGUGCCCUAAACCCACCUAGAGGAGCCUGUUCUAUAAUCGAUAACCCACGAUACACCCAACCACCUCUUGCCAAUGCAGCCUACAUACCGCCGUCGCCAGCUCGCCUAAAUGAUAGAACAAUAGCGAGCACAACAGCUACACCGCUAACAAGACAGGUCAAGGUAUAGCAUAUGAGAUGGAAGAAAUGGGCUACAUUUUCUAAGAUAGAACAUUCAACGAAAGAGAGCAUGAAACAUCUCUCAGAAGGCGGAUUUAGCAGUAAAAUAGAACAAGAACGUCUAUUUUAAGCUGGCCCUAGGGCACGUACAUACCGCCCGUCACCCUCCUCACAAGCUAUGCCUACUCUAUAAAUAAUAACUCUCCUAAGCUAAAGAUGAGGUAAGUCGUAACAAGGUAAGUGUACCGGAAGGUGCACUUAGCAUAU
This 971-nucleotide non-coding RNA is filed under the name Aepyornis sp. RNAcentral describes it as "12S ribosomal RNA". It matches the Rfam family "Bacterial small subunit ribosomal RNA". The record is from RNAcentral. Lineage: Eukaryota; Metazoa; Chordata; Aves; Struthioniformes; Aepyornithidae.